UCCUCGGUGGCGCAAUUGGCUAGCGCGUCGUGAGUUUUACCUUGAACAAUUAUCCGAUGUAGACUAGUCUCCUAACAUAUUAUAGUGACUGUUAAUCAGGAGGUUGAAAGUUCGAGCCUUUCCCGGGGAG
This is a non-coding RNA of Xylaria sp. FL1777, 130 nucleotides long. Lineage: Eukaryota; Fungi; Ascomycota; Sordariomycetes; Xylariales; Xylariaceae. The record is from the annotation of a GenBank genome assembly.